RNAcentral lists this unclassified non-coding RNA (1340 nucleotides) under Eurytemora carolleeae. Its description in RNAcentral is "uncharacterized LOC111700978". Lineage: Eukaryota; Metazoa; Arthropoda; Copepoda; Calanoida; Temoridae. The record is from RNAcentral.
UCUUAUGGGAUGAGAGUAAAAAUGGAAAUUCUGAAAUAUUAUUUAUUUAUCCUUCAACCAAAAAAUUGUAAGGUUUGCGUUGAACACUUAUCGAGGGAAAUAGCAUUUUUCACACAAGAGGAAUUAAAAUAAAACCCUUCUUAUCUAAAUCUAAAUUCAUAUUUGGUGGAUCACAAUUUUAUUUCAUAAAAGCAUUUUUGCAUUUUGGGGUUAGGUUUAGUCGAAGAGCAGUUAUAAUAUAUGGAGUAUAUACUUUGUAUAAUACUUUAUAAUAUAUAAUAUAUGGGUAUAAAGCGUACCUCAGUAAAUAUUUAUAUAUCUAAUCCUUAAUCAGGAUGAAAAUUACCCAUUUAAAAAGCAUAAAUUUUCGUGAAUUCUAGUUCUUAACUAGUAUCCUGUAUCAUUAACAUUUUUUAACCGCUGCCAAUACAAAUAUUUUUUUUAAUUUUCAGAUAAAGAUGUCGCUCGGAUUGAAAGGGGUGGUACAAGCUGAAGCCUUCUCCUCGGUGAAACUUGGACUGAAGCCUGGAGGAACUCCAAAUCUAGUUUUAACCCCCUCUACCUCCUCCAACCCUACCCGGAGUAAACAACCCUGCUCUCCGUACCACCAGUCUACUCCUUCUAGGUCAUUACAAGCCAGCAAUGCGUCAGCACUUCUUGGAACUCCCAUUUCAGGACGGAAAGACACAGGUCUAGACCGACCAGGAACUCCUUUUGGUCGAUCCUCACCCUUCGCUUUUCUUCAUCGCCUCACACCCAGUAGGAGGAAUUCCUGGUCUGCGAAUACUCCUGAGUGUGCUAGGGACCUUGAAUGGUGUAACUAUGUUGAUUGUAACACACCAAGGAGUCGGGCACGCUGGGAGUUUAAAUCUCCCCUGAAGGGUAGCCCAGCCAAGAGACUGUUCUCUUGGGGGUGGGAAGGAGAGUUUAAUGAAUCUUUAGAUGUAGAUUCGGAUUCAGAGGUGUUUGAAGAAGGAUAUAUACCGUUGACUGAUCUGAAUUCUAGGGUGACUCAUAUGCUGCACAUUAGAGACUUCGAAUCCCUGCCCUCAACCUUAUAAACCAUGAUUGAUAUGUAUACUGUAUAGUUUAUGUUUAAGUAAUAUUUAUACUUUUAUUUGUAGUAAUUUUUAGCCAAGGUCAAUUUAUAGAUUAUCAUGUGGAUUGACCCUGAUCUGACCCCCCUUCACAACAUCGGGCAUGUCACUUUAUAUUUUGAGAAAUACCACAAUUUACGCCAACAGUCCCUUGAACCCGAUGUUGUUUUGUGACCGGACAGAAGGAACCCAUUAUUUUAUUCUAGCGACGAUGUCCCAGAAAAUAAUCUCAAUUGUUUCAGA